GAAAGUGGAAUUCCAUGUGUAGCGGUGAAAUGCGCAGAGAUAUGGAGGAACACCAGUGGCGAAGGCGACUUUCUGGUCUGUAACUGACGCUGAUGUGCGAAAGCGUGGGGAUCAAACAGGAUUAGAUCCCCUGGUAGUCCACGCCGUAAACGAUGAGUGCUAAGUGUUAGGGGGUUUCCGCCCCUUAGUGCUGCAGCUAACGCAUUAAGCACUCCGCCUGGGGAGUACGACCGCAA
RNAcentral lists this ribosomal RNA (236 nucleotides) under Staphylococcus aureus. Its description in RNAcentral is "partial 16S ribosomal RNA". It matches the Rfam family "Bacterial small subunit ribosomal RNA", at positions 657 to 891 of the family's 1533-position model. The record is from RNAcentral. Lineage: Bacteria; Bacillati; Bacillota; Bacilli; Caryophanales; Staphylococcaceae.